CCUCGUAGCUUGAUCACGAUA
This 21-nucleotide microRNA is filed under the name Taeniopygia guttata (zebra finch). RNAcentral's name for it is "tgu-miR-1329-3p". The record is from miRBase by way of RNAcentral. Lineage: Eukaryota; Metazoa; Chordata; Aves; Passeriformes; Estrildidae.